UGCAGAGGUCCCAAGCGUUGUUCGGAUUCACUGGGCGUAAAGGGUGCGUAGGCGGUCGGGUAAGUCUGGCGUGAAAUCUCCAAGCCUAACUUGGAAACUGCGUUGGAUACCAUCCGGCUCGAGGAAUGGAGGGGAGACUGGAAUACUUGGUGUAGCAGUGAAAUGCGUAGAUAUCAAGUGGAACACCAGUGGCGAAGGCGAGUCUCUGGACAUUAGCUGACACUCAGGCACGAAAGCGUGGGGAGCAAAAGGG
RNAcentral lists this ribosomal RNA (253 nucleotides) under uncultured bacterium. RNAcentral's name for it is "partial 16S ribosomal RNA". It matches the Rfam family "Bacterial small subunit ribosomal RNA", at positions 524 to 776 of the family's 1533-position model. The record is from RNAcentral.